RNAcentral lists this ribosomal RNA (371 nucleotides) under uncultured bacterium. RNAcentral's name for it is "bacterial SSU rRNA". It matches the Rfam family "Bacterial small subunit ribosomal RNA", at positions 29 to 430 of the family's 1533-position model. The record is from RNAcentral.
AACGAACGCUGGCGGCAGGCCUAACACAUGCAAGUCGAACGCUCCGCAAGGGGAGUGGCGCACGGGUGAGUAACACGUGGGAACCUACCUUCUGGUACGGAACAACCAAGGGAAACUUUGGCUAAGACCGUAUACGACCUCCGGGUGAAAGAUUGAUCGCCGGAAGAGGGGCCCGCGUCCGAUUAGGUAGUUGGUGAGGUAACGGCUCACCAAGCCUUCGAUCGGUAGCUGGUCUGAGAGGAUGACCAGCCACACUGGGACUGAGACACGGCCCAGACUCCUACGGGAGGCAGCAGUGGGGAAUAUUGGACAAUGGGCGCAAGCCUGAUCCAGCCAUGCCGCGUGAGUGAUGAAGGCCUUCGGUUGUUAAG